UACGUAGGUGGCAAGCGUUGUCCGGAUUUACUGGGCGUAAAGGGCGUGCAGGCGGUCUGUUAAGUUCAGGGUGAAAGCUCCCGGCUCAACUGGGAGAGGUCCUUGGAUACUGGCAGACUUGAGGGAGGUAGAGGAGAGUGGAAUUCCCGGUGUAGUGGUGAUAUGCGUAGAUAUCUGGAGGAAUACCGGUGGCGAAGGCGGCAUCCUGGACCGACAUUGACGCUGAACGGCGAAAGCUAGGGGAGCAAACGGG
RNAcentral lists this ribosomal RNA (253 nucleotides) under uncultured bacterium. RNAcentral describes it as "partial 16S ribosomal RNA". It matches the Rfam family "Bacterial small subunit ribosomal RNA", at positions 524 to 776 of the family's 1533-position model. The record is from RNAcentral.